This is a non-coding RNA of Cajanus cajan (pigeon pea), 188 nucleotides long. The record is from Rfam. Lineage: Eukaryota; Viridiplantae; Streptophyta; Magnoliopsida; Fabales; Fabaceae.
AAACUCAAGUUGGAGUUCCCUUUACUCCAAGUUUGAAAGUAUAUGAUGGGAAACCUCUGCUGCUAGUUCAUGAAUACCUCUAACUUCAUAAUGACAUGAGUUUGAAGUUAAGGGUUUACAUGAACUGGGAGACGAGGUUACCUUAAUCUUUUGGUAUUGGAGUGAAGGGAGCUCCAAAGAGUCUUCUC